UGUGAUUGAUGGAAGUCAAAAAAAUGGUAUGAGAUAUGAAAGUAUGUUUAAUUACUGUUGAAAAUGAUAUGUUGAAAAACUAGUUUUUUAUAUAUAUAUUGUGUGUGUGUGUGUGUGUGUGUGUGUGUGUGUGUGUAUGCCACCAUACAGGGUGUUGCUGAAAAUUUAGCAAUCCAGAAUGUCACAG
This is a non-coding RNA of Podarcis lilfordi (Lilford's wall lizard), 187 nucleotides long. NCBI's taxonomy places the organism in Eukaryota, Metazoa, Chordata, Lepidosauria, Squamata, Lacertidae. The record is from the annotation of a GenBank genome assembly.